UACGGGGGGGGCAAGCGUUGUUCGGAAUUACUGGGCGUAAAGGGCUCGUAGGCGGCCAACUAAGUCGGACGUGAAAUCCCCAGGCUCAACCUGGGAACUGCGUCUGAUACUGGAUGGCUUGAAUCCGGGAGAGGGAUGCAGAAUUCCAGGUGUAGCGGUGAAAUGCGUAGAUAUCAGGAGGAACACCGGUGGCGAAGGCGGUUCUCUGGGCAUUACCUGACGCUGAGGAGCGAAAGUGUGGGGAGCGAACAGG
This 253-nucleotide ribosomal RNA is filed under the name uncultured bacterium. RNAcentral describes it as "partial 16S ribosomal RNA". It matches the Rfam family "Bacterial small subunit ribosomal RNA", at positions 524 to 776 of the family's 1533-position model. The record is from RNAcentral.